This is a long non-coding RNA of Ornithodoros turicata, 1749 nucleotides long. RefSeq lists it as uncharacterized. Lineage: Eukaryota; Metazoa; Arthropoda; Arachnida; Ixodida; Argasidae. The record is from RefSeq and is a predicted model, not a curated record. The transcript has 7 exons.
CACGUUCUGCUUGAGCAACAGAAACUGGCAGGUCUGGUGUGUAGGUGUCUCUCCUGCAGGAAACCAGAGGUGUCGCAGAUGCUCGCAGUAAGGAGCGUGGAGGUCCCUAUUGGUGUGUGUGUGUAGUGAUAAGGGAUAACAUACAAAAUUUGCAGCCUAAGUGUGCAGUCUCAAAAGCUUGGAGCGUGCCUAACUCAAAUUUUGAGACCAGCAAAAGCUUACCUUGGAGUAAAAGGUUGCUUUCCUCUGACUCCUCAGUUCCUGUUUGCAAGUGACCUAGCAACAAGUCCAGUGUAUUUUUCACUCCUCCAUUGAUAUGCAAGUGUGCACACUUUGCUAUUUCACUUGGAACUCGUUUUAUUCGCAAGAGAACACUCUGCACCGAAAAACGAAAAAAUUGGGGGUCACCUCAGUGCUCCUUUAAAGGAGUUACCUUUAAAGGCUUUUGAAGGCGUGAAAGGACACCUACUACAAAGCCUUCUUGUUGGUCACAGUUGCGACCUUAUGCUAUUUGAUCCUUGGCCAACGGAAAUUCUGCAGAAGUUUGGCUGUGUACUUGAGCACCGAAGAAAGUGCAGUGGUAGUUACCAACACCAAAACCACUAGUGGUGCAAUACACUCCUCUCAAGUGUGCACGGUGCAGGAUGGCACAACACAUGUGCAAUAAGAAAGACUGGAGGUGCAAUCCAGGAGGAAGAGGUGCACACGAGGGUCCAAGAGAGAUGUCAGUGUUACUUACGAGUUAUUUGAAGGACCCAAAUGUACUUUAAGGUAUCGGAACCGCUGACAAAUAUUUAGGGAGCCAAUGAAAUCCAUGCCAUUUAGCCACACACUGCUCAGUAGAAGGUGUGUCAAUGACCAAAUGUGACGUGUUUCAGAUAGUGGGAGAAGGAAGAAAAAGUUGUCCAGCAAAUGAACUACAUACACUGCUGAGGCAGCAUUGGUCUGAGUAUUCGUAAAUUGUCAGUGAAGCUCUGUGUGUCAUGACAUUUAUUUGCGCAAAAAAAUUGAGAAUCCGCAGUGUCUGGAGUCUUCUCUUUCCAACGAGAGUUUUCAUGCCGCUUGAAGGAUGUUUAACAGAAUAAAACACAGUAAGACAUGCAAAACUGCAAAGUUUUUGAGAAAGACAAGAAUGUAAUGAACAAUGUGCAGGAAAAAGUAACACAGGUAAUAUAUCUUUUUUUUUUUAGUGUGUUAGUACAAGUGAGUAUAGAAAGAACAGAACAAAAGUAGUACAAAAAGGAAGUACAGAGUAUCAGAACUACGUAAAAUAUUAGUAGGAAACAUGGUUUAACAGAACUAAACAGAACUCAAAGCACUCAAUCGAUACAUUCAAAACACAUGAUACAGAAAAUGAACACUUCUAUGUUGGCAGUUUUCCUGGUACACACAGCCAUAAAGAAGCACUCUAUUACCUCACUGGACAAUGCCUACAAAUAAUCCAACAGAAAAGAGUUCUGCAUAAAAAACUAUACACUACAGGCUAUAAGGCACUUCCAGGAGGAACACCAGGACUAUACACACAAAUCUGUAUCUGACACAUAUCCCUGCAUGCUUACAUGAAUAGUGAUAUUACUAUAGCAUAUGGACGUUCCUUGUAGUGCCUACCUUUGUUGUGACACACUUCAUGGUUGAAAUGUAUUUAGUGUGUAUUAUUGCUAGCGUUCCCAGCCUGUGAUUAUAACGCGUGAGGAUAUAUUUUAUAUCUGCGCAAUAAAUUAUUAAAAUGUAUUAUCCGCUAAAAAUGUA